This is a long non-coding RNA of Bactrocera neohumeralis, 295 nucleotides long. RefSeq lists it as uncharacterized. The record is from RefSeq and is a predicted model, not a curated record. The transcript is spliced from 2 exons. Lineage: Eukaryota; Metazoa; Arthropoda; Insecta; Diptera; Tephritidae.
UUUCUCUGAAAUGUAAGUUGAAUCUUCAGAUUCAACUACAUACAUAUGUACAUAUAUAAGAUAUGCCGGGUCGUUGAUGCUGAGGAAUGUCAAGUCAGCACAACGGCUUCAGGUAAAUUUAGGAAAUAAGAUUUUUGUAAAGAAUAAAAUGAUGAUUAAUAAACUGGACGGCAAGCCGCUCAGUACGGUAAACCGGAGUUUUAUUAUAUCGUAAUUCGCGCACAUAAAAUUAGUACGUAAGCUAGACAGAAAUAAAUAAAGAAAACUUAGUCUAAGAUUGGAGCUGAGCAAAGAA